This 904-nucleotide ribosomal RNA is filed under the name Corollospora colossa. RNAcentral describes it as "LSU rRNA". It matches the Rfam family "Eukaryotic large subunit ribosomal RNA", at positions 40 to 961 of the family's 3401-position model. Lineage: Eukaryota; Fungi; Ascomycota; Sordariomycetes; Microascales; Halosphaeriaceae. The record is from RNAcentral.
AUAUCAAUAAGCGGAGGAAAAGAAACCAACAGGGAUUGCCCCAGUAACGGCGAGUGAAGCGGCAACAGCUCAAAUUUGAAAUCUGGCCCCCCGCGGGUCCGAGUUGUAAUUUGCAGAGGAUGCUUUGGGCGAGGGACCUUCCGAGUUCUCCUGGAACGGGACGCCAGAGAGGGUGAGAGCCCCGUACGGUCGGACCCCGAGCCCGCGUAAAGCUCCCUCGAAGAGUCGAGUAGUUUGGGAAUGCUGCUCCAAGCGGGAGGUAAACCCCUUCUAAAGCUAAAUACCUGCCAGAGACCGAUAGCGCACAAGUAGAGUGAUCGAAAGAUGAAAAGCACUUUGGAAAGAGAGUCAAACAGCACGUGAAAUUGUUGAAAGGGAAGCGCUUGCGGCCAGACCUGCGCGCCGCGGCUCAGCCGUCCCUCGCGGGCGGUGCACUCCGCGGCGUGCAGGCCAGCAUCGUCUCGCGGUCGGGAACAAGGGCGGUGGGAACGUGGCUCCCCCAGGGGAGUGUUAUAGCCCGCCGCUACGCCCCUCCGCGGGUCGAGGAACGCGCCCUCUGGGCAAGGAUGCUGGCGUAAUGGUCGCCAGCGACCCGUCUUGAAACACGGACCAAGGAGUCGUCCUAGCAUGCGAGUGUUCGGGCGUCGAAACCCCAGCGCGAAAUGAAAGUGAACGGAGGUGGGAGCCCCCCGGGGCGCACCAUCGACCGAUCCUGAAGUUCUACGGAUGGAUUUGAGUAGGAGCAUGCUGGGCCGGACCCGAAAGAAGGUGAACUAUGCUUGGAUAGGGCAAAGCCAGAGGAAACUCUGGUGGAGGCUCGCAGCGGUUCUGACGUGCAAAUCGAUCGUCGAAUCUGAGCAUGGGGGCGAAAGACUAAUCGAACCUUCUAGUAGCUGGUUUCCGC